RNAcentral lists this ribosomal RNA (253 nucleotides) under uncultured bacterium. Its description in RNAcentral is "partial 16S ribosomal RNA". It matches the Rfam family "Bacterial small subunit ribosomal RNA", at positions 524 to 776 of the family's 1533-position model. The record is from RNAcentral.
UACGUAGGGACCAAGCGUUGUUCGGAUUUACUGGGCGUAAAGGGCGCGUAGGCGGCGCGGUAAGUCACUUGUGAAAUCUCUGAGCUUAACUCAGAACGGCCAAGUGAUACUGCAGUGCUAGAGUGUGGAAGGGGCAAUCGGAAUUCUUGGUGUAGCGGUGAAAUGCGUAGAUAUCAAGAGGAACACCUGAGGUGAAGACGGGUUGCUGGGCCAGCACUGACGCUGAGGCGCGAAAGCCAGGGGAGCAAACGGG